RNAcentral lists this non-coding RNA (30 nucleotides) under Mus musculus (house mouse). Lineage: Eukaryota; Metazoa; Chordata; Mammalia; Rodentia; Muridae. The record is from RNAcentral.
UGUGCAGGAAGGACCAGCUGUAUAAUCUGG